Armigeres subalbatus is the source of this 1133-nucleotide long non-coding RNA. RefSeq lists it as uncharacterized. The transcript has 3 exons. The record is from RefSeq and is a predicted model, not a curated record. Lineage: Eukaryota; Metazoa; Arthropoda; Insecta; Diptera; Culicidae.
AAUUCUCGCUUAACUUUUCAAAAGGUCCUACACGCUUAGAUCAGAUUACCCAAAUGUAGGUACUUCAUUCACCCAUAUUUGGGUAUGUGAUGCAUCACCUAUAUUAUUGGUAAAAUUUACCGAGAAAGUUGGUAAAAUUCACUCAAAUUGUGAAAGAAGUAAUAUUACCUAUAUAUGAGUGAUUUCAUUUUACCCAUAUUUGGAUGAAAAAUAAAAAUUUGAAACCACUGUCCACCAUCGCCGCCAUAACAUCUAUAAGUGCAAUCAAGAGAAGUAUUUAUGUUCAGAACUAGAUUAAUUAACAACAAUUAUUGUUGUUUAAAUUUUGAUGAGUGCAUCGAGGAGUGCAUUAUUAUAUACCUUGAUUUUUCCAGCGUCUGAUCAACUGAAUGUCAACAUGUCCAGAUCCGUAUAUUUCCAAACUAGGACUGGAAUAUCGACUGAAACAACAGAUUAGUUAGCCGGAACGGAUUAGGAUCCGAUUAGGACCGGCUUUCAAUCGGAUUGAUCGUUGAAUUUUUUCGUUGCAAUUUCUAUCCGUCGGAUAGGAAUUACUUCCGGGGUCAUCAACUAAACGGAAGUGAUCUUGAUAUGAUGGAUUGAAUGAUUAUGCCCAUUGAUCUCCGGGCAGAAAGGGGCGUGAAAUGAAAUGAAAUUCCUCACCAAAGCUAAAGUAGCCAUCGUUAAGACAUCGACUGAUAGUUGGUGGAUAUUUGUUGCACCUCAAGUGUUAAGCCGAUUCCAUGGACAAUUCACUAUGGUCCACAUUUGUGAUAGCCACGUAACCUUGAUGUUCUUUUCGUUGUAUCGGAAGCAGGAACUGGGACUUGCUUUGGAAAGCAAAACGCGAAUCUCGUUGGCAGUGAGUGACACCGAGCCGUCGAUUUUAUAUAUAGUAUUCGAGGACGUCAACGAUUUAAAAUCCAAUAUGUGUUUCUAUGUAAUGUAUUAAAAACACAAAUUUGUAUGUAUGGCCAUAUGGCGUAUUAGGAACAGUUAAGAAAAAUUGUCAGUGGGUGAAUGAAUGAUGACCAGUGAGUGAAUGAAUGAUGAUUUCAGCUAUAGCUGAAAUCGUGUUUAUGUGAACCAUAGAUUGUUAAUAAGAACCUGAGUUAUGAAACCAAAUAAAAUUA